UUGUGAUCGGCCGAGAUCAAAUCUCAUCCAACUUGAGAGUUUGAUCCUGGCUCAGAGCGAACGCUGGCGGCAGGCUUAACACAUGCAAGUCGAGCGGGCGUAGCAAUACGUCAGCGGCAGACGGGAGAGUAACACGUGGGAACGUCCCCUUCGGUUCGGAACAACACAGGGAAACUUGUGCUAAUACCGGAUACGUCCGUAAGGAGAAAGAUUUAUCGCCGAGGGAUCGGCCCGCGUCUGAUUAGCUAGUUGGCGGGGUAAUGGCCCACCAAGGCGACGAUCAGUAGCUGGUCUGAGAGGAUGAUCAGCCUCACUGGGACUGAGACACGGCCCAGACUCCUACGGGAGGCAGCAGUGGGGAAUAUUGGACAA
RNAcentral lists this ribosomal RNA (372 nucleotides) under Pseudorhodoplanes sp. RNAcentral's name for it is "bacterial SSU rRNA". It matches the Rfam family "Bacterial small subunit ribosomal RNA", at positions 1 to 371 of the family's 1533-position model. The record is from RNAcentral. Lineage: Bacteria; Pseudomonadati; Pseudomonadota; Alphaproteobacteria; Hyphomicrobiales.